Molecule: long non-coding RNA, 1325 nt
Filed under: Homo sapiens (human)
Lineage: Eukaryota; Metazoa; Chordata; Mammalia; Primates; Hominidae
Description: HSALNT0039811
Source: RNAcentral
CAUGAACCUGUUGUGAACUGCCCAUCUGAGGGAUCUAGGUUGUGUGCUUCGUAUGAGAAUCUAAUGCCUGAUGAUCUGUCACUGUCUCACUUUGCCCCCAGAUGAGACCAUCCAGUUGCAGAAAAAUGAGUUCAGAGCUUCCACGGAUUCUACAUUAUGGAUAUGUGCCGCCGAAGCAAGCACAAAGCCCUACUUUUACACAUGAUUAGUGAUGCGUCAUGGACAAGGCUUGGCUCUGUGAAGUCCAACUAACCUACUUGAGAUUCUGAGAAUUCUCUUCAAUGGCUUCCUGUGAGCUAGAGUUUGAAAAUAUUUUAAAAUCUUGAGCUAGAGAUGGAAGUAGCUUCCACGAUUUUCAUUAUCAUGUAAAUCAGAUCACUCAAGGGGCCAACCACAGCUGGGAGCCACUGCUCAGGGGAAGGUUCAUAUGGGACUUUCUACUGCCCAAGGUUCUAUACAGGAUAUAAAGGUGCCUCACAGUACAGAUCUGGUAGCAAAGAAGAAGAAACAAACACUGAUCUCUUUCUGCCACAUUAUUUGAACCCCUCUCACCCUUUAGAACAAGCCCACCUAAUAUCUGCUAGAGAAAAGACCAACAACAGCCUCAAAGGAUCUCUUACCAUGAAGGUCUCAGCUAAUUCCUGGCUAAGAUGUGGGUUCCACAUUAGGUUCUGAAUAUGUGGGGAAGGGUCAAUUUGGUCACUUUGUGUGCGGAUAAAGUCAAGAUGCCCAGCGGCCAGAGCAGGGGGCUGGUGCUCUGGGAACAAUGGCUGAGCAUAUAAGCAUAGGUAUGGGAAUUAAAAAACAUCAAAGUCACUGUAUGAAUCGCCAUGAAGACUUGAGGGAUCUGAAUCUACUGAUUCAUCUUAAGGCAGCAGGACCAGUUUGAGUGGCCACAAAGCAGCAACAGAAUCAACGGAAACAACAGAAUGAUUGCAAUGUCUUUUUUCCUCCUCCUUCUGACUUGAUAAAAGGGACUGUCUUCCUUGGAUUUAGUAAACCCCUUCGGUUCUUGAAAAAUUCAAGGAGUAUGUAGGACAUAGUGCCCAGAAGACAGUACAAGACUUUCCGCUAAACUGGACAUUUCAAGACCCAAAUAACUAAUCAGAAAAAUUAAAGAUGUGACACUAUUUUUUAUCCCAUGCAUAGGUGUUACACUUGGAUCAAAUGAACAAUGCUGGGAUCUCUAAGGAUAAAGAUCUUAAAAGUCCUGAGAUAAAGAAUCCCGCACCCAUUGGUACUUCUAACUUGUCUUGCUUUUUGUCUGAUUUCUGGCUGAUGCAGGGGACUAACUCACUGCCACGCGAAAACUACCUGAACCAAAC